This 245-nucleotide ribosomal RNA is filed under the name uncultured bacterium. RNAcentral describes it as "partial 16S ribosomal RNA". It matches the Rfam family "Bacterial small subunit ribosomal RNA", at positions 109 to 354 of the family's 1533-position model. The record is from RNAcentral.
AGUAACGCGUGGGCAACCUGCCUUACACAGGGGGAUAACACUUAGAAAUAGGUGCUAAUACCGCAUAAGCGCACAGCUUUGCAUGAAGCAGUGUGAAAAACUCCGGUGGUGUAAGAUGGACCCGCGUCUGAUUAGCUGGUUGGCAGGGUAAAGGCCUACCAAGGCGACGAUCAGUAGCCGGCCUGAGAGGGUGAACGGCCACAUUGAGACUGAGACACGGCCCAGACUCCUACGGGAGGCAGCAG